UUAUAGCCGGUGUCGCCUCGCAUCACCUGGCCGGAGCCAAUCAAACCUGCGCCGCCGCCUCCCCAAGCCCUCCGUCGACCUCGCCUGCCGGAGCUGGAAGCUGUGGCCAAUCAAACCUGCGCCGCCGCCUCCCCAAGCCCUCCGUCGACCUCGCCUGCCGGAGCUGGAAGCUGUGGCCAAUCAAACCUGCGCCGCCGCCUCGCCUCGUCUCCCCAUGCCCUCCGUCGACCUCAUCUGCCGGCGCGGGAGGAGCACUCCGCCGGCGCCUGCUGCCGGGAUGACCCCGCCAUCGCCAUGCUGCACGCCCUCCCUCACCACGCACGCCCUGCCCCGGGACGUCGCCGUAAGUCCAGGCUGCAGUUAUGCGUUGAUGAAGGAGAGCAUGAAUGCCCACAUAAGUGUUUGGGAGUAUUAAUUCUUCUGACCUUGAAGAAGCAUCAAGACAACAAUGUCACAAGCAGCUCCGAGACAACAUCGCAUUCCUCGGCGGGCCACCACACCCAUGCCCUUCGUCGGCGCAGCAUGGGUUCUGCUCCUUCUCCCCGGCCAACUCUGGUCGCCGUCCGAGCUCUAGCCGGAGGAGGAGUCCCGGAUAAAUCCGUGGAGAUAGCUCACUCAGUAGUACGCCAGGCGCUCAAACACAUGCCCUCAGCGACGUUGUCAUCAGGUCUCAUAUAUCUAAGAUAUACAUGUCUAAUAGUCUACUAGGAAGCAUGGCAGCCUGCCAACAUGUGGUGGUGACGUAGCACAAGUGACCGGCUGGACCAUGCUCCACCGGCUGCCACCCAUGCGUAGGUGCACGAGGGAGUUGAAGCCUGAGAUAGAGAGGUUUAGAGGGAGGAGAUGAGCGGCUGGCGACCACGUACAACUGCACUCUGGCCCGCGUCACCACCUCGCCAUGCACCCUCCUGCUCGGGCCUCCCCGCCGCCCAGACCAACAAGAUGCGACAGUGCUGCCCGUACCCUUCUCCCUGGUCAGUUCCAUCGCUGGCGCCUGCUGCGGGGUGAGGCUGCCAUGCUGCACGCCCUGCUCCAGGACAUUGCCGUACCUCCAGGUUGCAGUUAUAGGAGAGGAUGCAUGCCCAGACAAUUGUUUUGGAGCAUUCUUCAGACCUUGAAGCAACACCAAGACAACAUCGUCACAAGGAGCUUGAUUUAGUUUCCCUGAAUGGACUAGUGUAUCAAGUUGGUAGCUUGAUGCCUAAUUAUUGUUCAAUUUUAUAGGCUCCAGUUAUGUGUUGAUGAAGGAGAGCAUGCAUGCCCAGAUAGUUGUUUUGGAGCAUUCUCCCCAGCCAACUCUGGUCGCCAUCCGAGCUCUAAGAGGAGUCCUGGAUAAAUCGGUGGAGAUAGCUCACGCAGAAGUGCGCCGGCCGCUCAAACACAUGCCCUCAGCGUCGUCAUCGUCAGGUGCAACGCUGAGACAAAGGCAGCCAUGUCGAUGCUCAUCUGCAAUGGGUGUUAGAGCCUCUUUACGUACAACCACAGUGCCACUGGAACUGUCUCAACUCCACAAGAGCAGUGAGGAGCGACGACAGGGAGGAAAUGGGCGCGACCGAGCAGGAGGUCAAGAUGGCUUCCCCAAUGUCCAUCGAGGCGGCCUCGGCGCUGCCCUUCAGGAGAUUGUCAACCUCGCCACCCAAAGUUGGAGAGGAUCAAAGGCUGAGUGGACACCCCACAGUCACGCCAUGGCUGAGUUUCCAGUUAACAGAAACUAAGCAUUUGGACCACUCCGGCCUUUUUAGUCUAUAGAGGCGACAUAGGAGCUGUGGUACAUGUGUUGAGGCCCUUCCUCGGUCGUUUGACUUGGCCAAGGUGCUGAGGACCGAGGUCCAUGCUGAUGGCCUCUUAGAGCUUCUUUGCUGCCUGCCACUAGACACCGGGAGAAAGAUGGUGGUGGCCGCAGGGAGCAUGGGAGCUAUGGUGGCAGCUGGACGCUAGGAGCUGUCCGAGGUGGUCGAUGCCAAGGAAGAGAAUGGCGGCACAUGAAAAGAAAGGACAUGAUUUUGUCGAAAAGGGCGUCCCUAUUUUCAUCACCUGCUGGUACAAUGCGUGAGGGAAUGACUUGAUCUGGCUGUCCGAUUUGUCUCCUUGUCUCAACAGCAUGCUCUGCUUCAGCUCGCAGGCGACAUAUAGGAGCUGUGGUACAUGUGUUAAGGCCCUUCCUCGGUCGUUUGACUCGGCCAAGGCGAUGAGGACCGAGUUCCAGGGUGAUGCCCUCUUGGAGCUUCUUUGCUGCCUGCCACUUGACACCAGGAGAAAGAUGGUGGCGGCAGCAGGGAGCAUGGGAGCUAUGGUUGCAGCUGGACUCUAGGAGCUGUCCGAUGUGGUCCACGCCAAGGAAGAGAAUGGCGGCACACAAAAAGAAAGGACAUGAAUUUUCCGAAAAGGGCGUCCUAUGGUCAUCGCCUUCUGGUACAAUGCGUGAGGGAAUGACUCAAGCUGGCUGUCUGAUUUGUCUCCUUCCUUGCCUUAACAUCGUGCUUUGCUUCAGGUUGCAGUGUUGUCGUGCAGGUGACAAGGUGAGCUUGUUCAACUGGUGGCAGUCAGAGGCGACGGAGCAGCGCGUAUGUUGUUGUUCUCCCCAUGAAGAUAUGAUGUGGAUCUGGACACUUGAACCGGCCAGCGGGACAUGCUUUUAUUUGUGAUGUUGCAGUGGAUUAAGUUCUAGUUAGCUAUGCUGGCCUGGAGCAUCUUCAACAGUCUGGAGUAUUUUACCAUUGUGGUGUAUAAUGUUUUUGCUGAAAGGUUUGUAACAAAUAGGUUUUGUUGUGUGAUGUUUGCCUUGUCGAGACAUGCGAUGGCUUAUUAUUGAUGUCCUUAAUACAAACAGUUUGGCAUUAGCUAGCU
Lolium perenne is the source of this 2847-nucleotide non-coding RNA. The record is from RefSeq and is a predicted model, not a curated record. Lineage: Eukaryota; Viridiplantae; Streptophyta; Magnoliopsida; Poales; Poaceae.